This 465-nucleotide ribosomal RNA is filed under the name uncultured bacterium. Its description in RNAcentral is "partial 16S ribosomal RNA". It matches the Rfam family "Bacterial small subunit ribosomal RNA", at positions 28 to 507 of the family's 1533-position model. The record is from RNAcentral.
GACGAACGCUGGCGGCGUGCUUAACACAUGCAAGUCGAACGGAAAGGCCCUGCUUGCCGGGUACUCGAGUGGCGAACGGGUGAGUAACACGUGGGUGAUCUGCCCUGCACUUCGGGAUAAGCCUGGGAAACUGGGUCUAAUACCGGAUAGGGGCCAUUUUUAGUGUGAUGGUUGGAAAGUUUUUUCGGUGUAGGAUGAGCUCGCGGCCUAUCAGCUUGUUGGUGGGGUAAUGGCCUACCAAGGCGGCGACGGGUAGCCGGCCUGCGAGGGUGGACGGCCACAUUGGGACUGAGAUACGGCCCAGACUCCUACGGGAGGCAGCAGUGGGGAAGAUUGCACAAUGGGCGCAAGCCUGAUGCAGCGACGCCGCGUGGGGGAUGACGGCCUUCGGGUUGAAAACGCCUUUCGCUAGGGACGAAGCUUUUUGUGACGGUACCUAGAGAAGAAGCACCGGCUAACUACGUG